AUAAUGGAAGAAUUAGAGGGAGCUUCCUUCAGUCCACUCAUAGGUGGGUAGAGGGUAUGGAUUUGCUGCCGACUCAUUCAUUCAAACACAAUAGUACCAUUGUAGUUUGAACAUACUAUUGUGACUGUGUGAAUGAUGCGGGAGACGAAUCUGAUCCUAUCCUGAUUGUGGUUGGACUGAAGGGAGCUCCCUUGUUGU
RNAcentral lists this microRNA precursor (198 nucleotides) under Cynara cardunculus (cardoon). RNAcentral describes it as "miR319 stem-loop (cca-MIR319)". Its record names the gene cca-MIR319. It matches the Rfam family "MIR159 microRNA precursor family". The record is from miRBase by way of RNAcentral. Lineage: Eukaryota; Viridiplantae; Streptophyta; Magnoliopsida; Asterales; Asteraceae.